UAGUUUGAUGAUUUUUAUUGCUUGCUUUGUCUGAUUUCCUUUUGGAUAAUAAAGGCAUCUUAAGUCCUCUUCUGAGACAC
Small nucleolar RNA from Jaculus jaculus (lesser Egyptian jerboa), 80 nucleotides. RefSeq annotates it as small nucleolar RNA SNORD11. The record is from RefSeq and is a predicted model, not a curated record. Lineage: Eukaryota; Metazoa; Chordata; Mammalia; Rodentia; Dipodidae. The transcript has a single exon.